RNAcentral lists this transfer RNA (70 nucleotides) under Hesperosciurus griseus (western gray squirrel). Its description in RNAcentral is "tRNA-Gly". The record is from RNAcentral. Lineage: Eukaryota; Metazoa; Chordata; Mammalia; Rodentia; Sciuridae.
AUUUUCCUAGUAUAAUCUAGUACGGCUGACUUCCAAUCACCUAGUCUCAGUUUUAACCUGGGGGAAAAUA